Molecule: ribosomal RNA, 484 nt
Filed under: uncultured bacterium
Lineage: Bacteria
Description: partial 16S ribosomal RNA
Rfam family: Bacterial small subunit ribosomal RNA
Source: RNAcentral
AUUGAACGCUGGCGGCAGGCCUAACACAUGCAAGUCGAGCGGAUGAAGGGAGCUUGCUCCUGGAUUCAGCGGCGGACGGGUGAGUAAUGCCUAGGAAUCUGCCUGGUAGCGGGGGAUAACGUCCGGAAACGGGCGCUAAUACCGCAUACGUCCUGAGGGAGAAAGUGGGGGAUCUUCGGACCUCACGCUAUCAGAUGAGCCUAGGUCAGAUUAGCUAGUUGGUGGGGUAAAGGCCUACCAAGGCGACGAUCCGUAACUGGUCUGAGAGGAUGAUCAGUCACACUGGAACUGAGACACGGUCCAGACUCCUACGGGAGGCAGCAGUGGGGAAUAUUGGACAAUGGGCGAAAGCCUGAUCCAGCCAUGCCGCGUGUGUGAAGAAGGUCUUCGGAUUGUAAAGCACUUUAAGUUGGGAGGAAGGGCAGUAAGUUAAUACCUUGCUGUUUUGACGUUACCAACAGAAUAAGCACCGGCUAACUUCGUG